CCAAUACUGAAAAUAAUGCACGUUUUGGGGAUAAAACUUGGCCCUAUCGCAGUCAAUUACGCUAGUAAUCGCGACAACACGCGUGUGCGCUCAGCCAAUCGUUUGAGCGGAGAAUCUUUGAUAGAGGCCAGGACACAACGAAAAAAGACUAGAGUGGAAGAAAAUGAGUAUUUUGAAGAAGCAGAAGGCAUACUGUAUGGUGCAGGCAUCGCAGAAUAAGAUCACCCGUUCUCAAAUUUCGAUGCCCGCCAACAGCAUACCUACUUUUGAAGGGUUCACGUUUGUCAGCCAUUUUGAAUGUCAAAAAAUGUUAAAAACAAU
Molecule: long non-coding RNA, 321 nt
Filed under: Polistes dominula (European paper wasp)
Lineage: Eukaryota; Metazoa; Arthropoda; Insecta; Hymenoptera; Vespidae
Description: uncharacterized LOC107072905
Source: RNAcentral